AUGGCGACGGCGCCAACCCUUUUGGUGGCUCCUCCUCCAAUGACGAUUUUGCUCCUCUCUCCCAGCGCGGCUCUCCAUGCCCGCUCUCACCUCAGCACUUUGCUACGGUGGUCUCUGCCGUCAGGGCAGGAUGGCGUGCAGACCCCACCUAUGGUGGAACCAGGGCUAUUGCCCCCCCCCCCUCGCCGGAUGCACGAUCCCUCCACGCCUUUCCUGUCGGCGCCACCUCUGGUCCUGUCCUGUCAAUUGUCCUUCCCCCUCCUAGUUCUGCACGUGACCCCCUUGUUGUCUCUGACGACGACUCGAGCGGCUCCGAGGGCAUGCACGUCCCCCUCCUGCAUGCAGUCUCAUCGGACUCCCUGGACGCGGUGCAUGCUCCCGCGGGGCCGGCUCUGGCCCCACCUAUCAUCUGCCCGCUGCCCAGGGUGGCGGCCGUUGACCCGCCUGCUCCUCCUGCUCACGCAGGGUACGGGGUGGUGGGCCCCGUGCUUCGAUCCGCUUCGUCGGCCUUCGUCCCCGUCGCCUCGAUCAACCCAGCUCCCCCAGCGUCGCCCACCUUCACUUUUUCUGCCGGAGAAUCAUCAAGUGCCAACGGUAACUCUCCCUCUCUUCCAUCUUCAAUUCUUACAACUCCUCCUCCGGCUUCUAACUCUAACUCUGGACCUGCUGCGGCCUACACAGCACUCCCUCUUCAGGACCUUGACACCCACGACUGCACCGCUCGCAAAGAGCGCCGCAAGAACGCCCGCGAUCGCUCUGUCUCUAAGGACAAGCUUCGUAGGAGCGCACACCUUGCUGCCAAGGAAGCCAAGUACUCCCCCAUACUCGCAAGAGCCGUCAAGGUCAAGGCGGCCCGCCUCUCCGCCUCCGACGUGGACACGGCCAUUGGACGUGCUAUCCAGGACGCCCGCCUCGAUGCUUCUGACGGACCCCCCGCCUCGGCCGAAGACUUGGCCACGAUCGCGCUCCUCUGUGGCGCAGAUGACGGCCACCUCGACGCCAUCCUCUCCUCCGAGGAGGCCGCUUCUGGUGACGACACCGCGCCAUGAUCGCUGA
RNAcentral lists this ribosomal RNA (1056 nucleotides) under Triticum aestivum (bread wheat). RNAcentral's name for it is "partial small subunit ribosomal RNA". Lineage: Eukaryota; Viridiplantae; Streptophyta; Magnoliopsida; Poales; Poaceae. The record is from RNAcentral.